This is a non-coding RNA of Lolium perenne, 445 nucleotides long. Lineage: Eukaryota; Viridiplantae; Streptophyta; Magnoliopsida; Poales; Poaceae. The record is from RefSeq and is a predicted model, not a curated record.
CGGACUCCUCGGACGCAUCCACCUGCAUCCAUACCUCUACCGCCGUAUCUCUACCGCGUGAGUCCCAGCUAGCAAUCCCGUCAUCACACCGAAGGUAGGUUAGGAGCUUCACCAUUGUUGCCCUUUUUGGAUCGCCGCCAGACCUCCGCCUGCGCCGCCAGUCUAACUCCGCCUCCGCUGCCCUAUCUCAACCGCGGGAGUCCCAGCUACCAAUCCCGCCGUCACACGGACGUUCGUACUCCGUGCAGGUCUCGCAGUGGACUCCCUCGAAAUGGGCGUACAAUUCGUACAUACAUCCGUUCGAGGAUCAGGCCCAUCAUCGGAAGAACGAUUCUGCUUCUAGCCCAGAUUGGUGUAUCUGACAGCGCCGCAUAAUGAUGGAUUGAUGGUGGUAAUUUCGACCCCUUCAUCAUCCCUGCAAUUAUAUUCCGCCAGUUAUUAUGAA